CCUCUCAUUAUCGCAGACGGGGCACCCAGCCGCUCGCGUGGGGUCUGCCCCGCGACCCGACGCCUCCGGCAGGCCCACCUCUGACGCCGGGGUCAGAUUUCAGCAUGAGAGGCGGAGGGGACCGGGCCGGCACGUACAUGGAUCUUCUUCACCUCCCUGGCGAGAACCACAGUCCUGAGACUGCAGCGUCACCUUGGAAAGCAGCUGCUACUGACCAUUGAGACGCCCUCCUGAGCACCUGAAUAUGUCCUAGUGGCUUUGACAUGCAAGUAUACUUCCAAGGACACAUGAAAAACAUCAAGAAAUUUUGAAAUGGUAUCUAAAUAAAAUAAUGUUUGGCCAGUAUAA
Long non-coding RNA from Lemur catta (Ring-tailed lemur), 348 nucleotides. RefSeq lists it as uncharacterized. The record is from RefSeq and is a predicted model, not a curated record. Lineage: Eukaryota; Metazoa; Chordata; Mammalia; Primates; Lemuridae. The transcript is spliced from 3 exons.